GACGAACGCUGGCGGCGUGCCUAAUACAUGCAAGUCGAGCGCAGGAAACUGACGGAGCUCUUCGGAGGGAAGGCAGCGGAAUGAGCGGCGGACGGGUGAGUAACACGUAAGGAACCUGCCUCAAGGAUUGGGAUAACUCCGAGAAAUCGGAGCUAAUACCGGAUAGUUCAACGGACCGCAUGGUCCGCUGAUGAAAGGCGCUUCGGCGUCACCUUGAGAUGGCCUUGCGGUGCAUUAGCUAGUUGGUGGGGUAACGGCCCACCAAGGCGACGAUGCAUGACCGACCUGAGAGGGUGGUAGGCCACGCUGGGACUGAGACACGGCCCAAACUCCUACAGGAGGCAGCAGUAGGGAAUAUUCCACAAUGGACGAAAGUCUGAUGGAGCAACGCCGCGUGAGUGAUGAAGGUUUUCGGAUCGUAAAACUCUGUUGUAAGGGAAGAACACGUACGAGAGGAAAUGCUCGUACCUUGACGGUACCUUACGAGAAAGCCACGGCUAACUACGUGCCAGCAGCCGCGGUAA
RNAcentral lists this ribosomal RNA (524 nucleotides) under uncultured bacterium. Its description in RNAcentral is "partial 16S ribosomal RNA". It matches the Rfam family "Bacterial small subunit ribosomal RNA", at positions 28 to 523 of the family's 1533-position model. The record is from RNAcentral.